GAUGAACGCUGGCGGCGUGCCUAAUACAUGCAAGUCGAGCGAACGGACGAGAAGCUUGCUUCUCUGAUGUUAGCGGCGGACGGGUGAGUAACACGUGGAUAACCUACCUAUAAGACUGGGAUAACUUCGGGAAACCGGAGCUAAUACCGGAUAAUAUUUUGAACCGCAUGGUUCAAAAGUGAAAGACGGUCUUGCUGUCACUUAUAGAUGGAUCCGCGCUGCAUUAGCUAGUUGGUAAGGUAACGGCUUACCAAGGCAACGAUGCAUAGCCGACCUGAGAGGGUGAUCGGCCACACUGGAACUGAGACACGGUCCAGACUCCUACGGGAGGCAGCAGUAGGGAAUUUUCCGCAAUGGGCGAAAGCCUGACGGAGCAACGCCGCGUGGGUGAUGAAGGUCUUCGGGUCGUAAAACUCUUUUAGUGGGGAAGAACAGAAGUGUAAGGAAACGAGCCCCGCUUGACGGUACCCAAACAAAAAGCCACGGCUAACUACGUG
RNAcentral lists this ribosomal RNA (497 nucleotides) under uncultured bacterium. RNAcentral describes it as "partial 16S ribosomal RNA". It matches the Rfam family "Bacterial small subunit ribosomal RNA", at positions 28 to 507 of the family's 1533-position model. The record is from RNAcentral.